CGCACCUUCGGGUGAGCGGCGGACGGGUGAGUAACGCGUGGGAACGUGCCCUUCUCUGCGGAAUAGCCACUGGAAACGGUGAGUAAUACCGCAUACGCCCUUCGGGGGAAAGAUUUAUCGGAGAAGGAUCGGCCCGCGUUAGAUUAGGUAGUUGGUGGGGUAAUGGCCUACCAAGCCUACGAUCUAUAGCUGGUUUGAGAGGAUGAUCAGCCACACUGGGACUGAGACACGGCCCAGACUCCUACGGGAGGCAGCAGUGGGGAAUCUUAGACAAUGGGCGCAAGCCUGAUCUAGCCAUGCCGCGUGAGUGAUGAAGGCCUUAGGGUCGUAAAGCUCUUUCGCUGGGGAAGAUAAUGACUGUACCCAGUAAAGAAACCCCGGCUAACUCCGUGCCAGCAGCCGCGGUAAUACGGAGGGGGUUAGCGUUGUUCGGAAUUACUGGGCGUAAAGCGCGCGUAGGCGGAUCAGAAAGUUGGGGGUGAAAUCCCGGGGCUCAACCUCGGAACUGCCUCCAAAACUCCUGGUCUUGAGUUCGAGAGAGGUGAGUGGAAUUCCGAGUGUAGAGGUGAAAUUCGUAGAUAUUCGGAGGAACACCAGUGGCGAAAGCGGCUCACUGGCUCGAUACUGACGCUGAGGUGCGAAAGUGUGGGGAGCAAACAGGAUUAGAUACCC
This 672-nucleotide ribosomal RNA is filed under the name Salipiger thiooxidans. RNAcentral describes it as "bacterial SSU rRNA". It matches the Rfam family "Bacterial small subunit ribosomal RNA", at positions 67 to 787 of the family's 1533-position model. Lineage: Bacteria; Pseudomonadati; Pseudomonadota; Alphaproteobacteria; Rhodobacterales; Roseobacteraceae. The record is from RNAcentral.